AUAUAAAAUCAUAUGUAAUAGUGUGCAAAUCAUUCGUAUCGCCUAUCAUUAAAGCUGCAUGAAAUAGCCUUCACCACACACUUUAUCCACGUACCACCUCCCAGGCUGUGACCUAGUCCACGCAACCCCGUUAAGAUUCGAGCAGUCCCGUCGAUUUCCUGAAAUUUUGUCCAUUUUUUUAUGAAUUUUGUGCUCGCAAAGUUUGAGGCUCUGAGCGAUGGCUAUCAAAACUGAACGAAAAUGUACCUGGGGGUGGAUGAAUGUGCUCAGUCUGGGUAAGUUUCAAACAAAGAAUAGACCAUUCCGCUGAAGCGUACAGCAUGCUAGUUUUAAAACAUGUCGGCUAAUGUGUCUGGAAUUUCAAUGAGACAAAAUCCGCCAUUACAUAAUUUUUUUCCUUACGCACCGCUAGUGAUCAGUUCACGCACCCUUAGGGGUGCGCGCACCACACUUUGGGAACCGCUGCUCUAAUUCAUCAGAAGUCACCUACGAUAGGAUAUUUUAUCCCUGACAGAUUAAAUUUACAUUAAGUUUGUUAAACUUUUAGUUAAUUAGCGCAAGCCAGCGCGCACGUAUACCAUAUAGCGCCAGAAUAGGCUUGACUACCCGACACGUUCUUUCCUCCAUCUUGGCGGUUCGGUGCCAGCCUGCGAGAGCAGAGCCAAAGACCUUCAACAUUGACUUGGGGUUGCCUAUGCUGACGUACUAGCACUACAUCAGUCUGCGACACCUUCAGCACCAUGAACGACUUCACAGGAGCCCUAAACAGAGGUAGGGCUCUCCUGCAAAACCCAAUUUGCAACACCUACUUCUGUUUAUAAUACCAUGAGAACCUGCGCUUACUUUUACUGCGCUAAACGUGAACGAUCUCGGAGAUGCUCUCUAGCCAAACGAACUUGUACAUCCUUCUUACGUACAUAUUAUAUCGUGAGCCUAUCAAUCUGUCAUACACACACUCACACAUAAAACCCAAGGUUCCAAUACAACAAACCUGCUUACUUAUAUUAAUUCCGAACUCAACAGUAAGUCCACCUACAAAUAACUAUAACGAGGCGUUGAAUUAUAGCAACGCGUCUCCUCCACUCAACCAACGGGACAUGAAGACGCUUGAGGCCUCUUUGCGCCUCAACCUACCUGUCACCGCUCUGUGUCAAUACAGACCCACGUGACCUGCUUGGGUCUGUGUGUGUGUGUGUGUGUGUGUGUGUGUGUGUGUGUGUGUGUGUGUGUGUGUGUGUGUGUGUGUGUGUGUGUGUGUGUGUGUGAGAGAGAGAGAGAGAGAGAGAGAGAGGUAUCUCAGGUGGCUAUAUUGAUUGGUGAUACGAGUAAAAGCUUAUCAUUCCAUAUAAUUGGAUAUAUAGGAACUAUAUGAUUUUAUUUUUUGGUUGUAUAUUUUACCACUUCGUCAUUUGAUAGCAUAAAUGACGAGUCGCGUUCCCGGGGGACUCGAAAGAAAUGUACAGAAAAUAUUUAAAUGACUAGCGAAGAUAUUAAUGAGUGACCAGUUUCACAGUUUUCACUUUUCAUCCUGUGUCCAAGGAUUCGCGGGCAGUAGGGGACAUGGUGAAGCCUUGUGUAGUGUGAAGGAUAUAUCGAGUUCUUUUUUUUUUUUUUUUUUUUUUUUUUACGUUCGGCCUAAGAGUAGGUAGGCUUUCUUUAUGGGGUCUGGUGGUCGGCUCCACCCCGUAAUGGCACAGGCAAGUGUUUUAUAGUGCGGCCAUCUUACUGUUGUGUGUGUGUGUGUGUGUGUGUGUGUGUGUGUGUGUGUGUGUGUGUGUGUGUGUGUAAACCUACUCAUGAAAAAUACUCAAUAUUUUAUGUAGCCUACAUAACUUUCGAGUACCUCGGAAACGUGACCCAUCAUCGACCGAUAAAUAAUAUCUCCAUCCUCAUUAAUGACUGCCACCCUCCCGCCCCAUCCGCCAAGUCACGUCAGAAGUCCCGAGUGCUGAUCCCGUGACCGCUGGAGCACGGCCAACUUGGCUGGCCCACGGCCCCGGCCGACGCGCCCUUCAUACAAGCCGCCAAAAUAGAAAUGAAGUGUGCGAGGUAUUUAGCCAAACUGCCAGUCACACACACACACACACCUUGGCGGUUGGCCCUCUGUUUUUCCCAUACUGGCAGCCUGAAGGGAGACCUAAAAAUGUCUCACCUCACGCAAGGUAUGGAAUUUGUUUCUGAGCAUAGUCCAAUUUCCAAAUAUUGGUUGUGUCGGAAAAAUCCGGUUAUAGCUCAACACUACCUAGGCCUAUAUGGAUUUUAGCAGUAAACAGUAACAGUAGCCGAAAGAACAGGACGGAAAAAUAAACGACUGCAUUCCUUAUCACGUGUCCUUUGGUUACUUAAUCUGUUUUGCUCGACCCUCAGCUUUUAUCUUAUCAAUCUCUCCCUAAAGCUGCAAGUGAUGUGAAGUGUCGGACUAUGAACCCAACUAUCAGCAGGUGCAAUAGUGUUGGGUGGCUCCCCAAGCCUUAUUAAUGGAACAACAUGUGGAUCAUUGCCACUAAGUUUGGUUGGGCGAGGAAGUGCAAUGAUUCUUCUACAAUAUUAGGUUAUUUGUUUAUUAUUAAGUCAUUAAGUUAUCAUUGGGGUGGUAGUAGUAGUAGUAGUAGUAGUAGUAGUAGUAGUAAAAUACGAAGACCUUGGAGUUCUAAGGCAUUCACGAAUAUAAGAAACGGCAUGAGAUAGAAACAAAAUACUAAGACGACUGUUGUACCAUUUUUUUCAUCCGACUGGAAAUCUUGCAUAAAAAAAUCACGAAUCAUUUUAAUAAAAAAAGGCCAGGACAGCAGGAGGUGGCCUCAGAGGACGGGCUUUGCUGAGUAGCAUCAGGAAAUGCCGUCAAGGCCAGGUUCCACGGAUUGGAGAAUUAAAAAAAGAUGAAUCCAUAACAAGUUAAUGGUUGUGUAUUUACGUUAAUAAAAAAACCUAGAGAUCAUUUCGGAAGAAAAUAUAUCGUAACUUUCGUGACUUCCUGAGAACCUUUGUAAUCAUGAUUUUCACACACACACACACAAAAAAAAAUCGCAUUUUCAGAGAGAGAGAGAGAGAGAGAGAGAGAGAGAGAGAGAGAGAGAGAGAGAGAACGUCCCCUACUUCUUUCAUAAAUACAUGUAUACGUGAGUGCUCUCUGGGCACGCGCUCUUCCGCCCCCUCUUUUUUUCCAGCUUAUACCAAUCCCCACGUGGGAACUUUCCUAUCUGGAUCUCACUAGUACACACUGGCUUCGUCUCCACCACCUGUAGCUACGGGAGCCGCUGCUGGGUCGAUGGCUGACUCCUGGCUAGUCUUUCAACACUUUUCUUAAACUCCCUAAUACCAGAAUCGAAAGAAAAGAAAAUAUCUGUCGAUUUCCUUCUUUUCUAUUGAGUAUGAUGAAGAUAUACGCUAUGCUAAAUUCAAAGGUGUUGAAAUUGACAUUUAUUUCUUUAAUUUUUUUCUUUGCGCCGAUGUAACGUCAGUAUACAAAAAGUUUGCCCAUAGCAAACAUGGAAGCAAUGCAGAUGCUAAGCAGGCGGAAAUGAAAUUAACAACACGAUAUAUUUUUCAACUUGACUCACAAAGAUUGCCUACGGCCACUUUCACUGAUAUUUAAAGCAAAAUAUUGGUGUGCAUCUCUCUCUCUCUCUCUCUCUCUCUCUCUCUCUCUCUCUCUCACACACACACACUCCGGUAGCUCAAUCGGCUACAGCGCCGCGCUGCAAGGCUUCACGGACAAACAGGCGUCGGUUAGAGCCCCGCUCAGGCCGGAUUCUUUCCGUUGACUAGGAGUGGUUACUGUCCCCUCUUGAGCAAGGGGGAUGGGGUGUGUGGUGUGUGAGGUCAUGGCAGUACCCAGAGAUCAACGAUAAUGCUCGAGUCGGGAGGGUACCUGCUGGGGAAAGCGAGUCCAACUCGUGAUCAGACCGUGGUGAAUUACACACACACACACACACACAAUCAACGCAACUGUUCCACUGAUCAAGCAAAGGUGUAAAUAUUUUUGUCUCGCUGCAAAGCAAGCAAAUCACUUAAAACAUUUAAUCAUAUAAAUUUAAAUGCGACGUUGUUAAUUUCAUGCCCGUAGUCACCAUUACAAAGGCAAGUCUACAUUCCAGGGCAUUAACACAAUAUAUAAUCAUAAACAAAUUGUGCAGAGAACACAACACUCUUGUCCACUCAUGUAAGUCAAGAAUAAGAAAGCUUCCUAUCUAUCUGCGUGGAGAAAGAUGCACCCAUCCCCUUUAAUAAAACACACACACACACACACACACGAUCAGCCAGUCAUUCAUUAGUGUUGGCCGAUGGGGAUUCUGUAUUUCUUGAGACGAACUGAUUCAAGAAUAACAAAGGAGGAGGAUGGUGGAAGAAAGUAAAUAAGAACAUAAGAACAUAGGGAAACUGCAAGAGGCCGGGUGGCCUACACAGGGCAGCUCCAGAAUUCCCCCCACUAUUCACGAUGGGUGAGGUUACAGGAGUUACAGGUAGAGGCUUGAUCCUCGUUAUACCGGCGGUACUAGGCACGCACCAGUACCCUGUCACCUUACUGCACCCACACCUCACUACCACCUGUCGUCCUCGUCCAUGGAGCUAUCCAGUCUACUCUUAAAACAAGCUAUCGUCCCUGCACUAUGUGAUUGCUGAGUCUAUUCCAUUCCCCCACCACCCUAUUACUAAACCAAUGCUUGCCUAUAUCUCUCCUAAAUCUAUACUUUUCUAAUUUAAAUCCAUUACUUAAUGGAUUUAAUUAAUGGAUACAUUAAUGAAGAAAGGAAAACCAGAACUGGGGAGAUAUUUGGGUCGUCCUUGUCACAAGCCUCAGUCAUAUUGUGAAACUUGGACAAAGUCCAAAAUUCAAAAGCAUCAACAGACAGGUCAUAUCUGUGGGCGGAGGACGGCGUGUGCGUGCAUCUAAGGCCUUGAGUGCGUCCACAUGUCAAGAGCCAGGUUGGAAUCCACGUGACCAGCUACACGUAGCCAAAACUGCAUGGGAGCUCCCCGGCCCAGCCCAUAUUUACCAAAACCUGUGUGUGUGUCCCUAAUGUCCUGAACGACCUCUACCAUGCCUCUAUACCCUCCCCUCUCCCCCUUCCAAACCUACAUACGCCUCAACCAAUUACGACGCGGUAUUCAGUGGUAGGGAGUCUGGGGAGACCCUUACUUCAAGAGGGAGACGAGGUGGGCGAGAGGGUAGGGGGGGGGGUUCUAGUCUUUUUUUUUUUCUUGUGUGUGUGUGUGUGUGUGUGUGUGUGUGUGUGUGUGUGUAUAGAAACAUGAGGAGGGAAGGAAUGGAUGGAGAUGGGGGAGAAGUGGGUUAGACUUGGUAGAUACGAACUAAAUCUCAGCACUGAUAUUACUUUUGUUCACCCAUGAAUGAGAACAGGAAAUUGCAGAAAGGCUCAAAGUUGCAUCAUGGUAAAUAAUCAUAAAAACAAAAACAAACAUGACUCAAGGAAGACGCCCCCAGCAUCCACCAAUCCCAAGCCAGCAUACAAGACCCACCUCACGAGACAGCCAAUCAUGGCCGCCAGAAUAACUAAGCCCCGCCUCCCUAUACCCCGCCAGGGACAGCUGCUUCCUCCCACUUUCCCCCCUCUUCUCUAUGUUUGCCAACGCUCUACCUCUACCCAAGGUUCCUCUACAGCAGGGCUACUCAACUGGCGGCCCGCGGUCCGAAUCCGGACCUUAUGAGUGUUGUAACUGGACCCCAAGUUCCAGCAGUAGAAAAAUAUAACUGAUUUACAUGAAUCCAUCGCUAGGACUUUCAUAAUGUAAAAUUAUAUUUUGCUACUCCUGGAGCUGGGGUCCAGCUACAAUAUUUAAUCGGAUCUCUGCAUACAUUUGUACUUGUCUAACUGGACCUUUGCUCAUAAUGGUUGAGUAGCCCUGCUCUACAGUA
Eriocheir sinensis (Chinese mitten crab) is the source of this 5878-nucleotide long non-coding RNA. RefSeq lists it as uncharacterized. Lineage: Eukaryota; Metazoa; Arthropoda; Malacostraca; Decapoda; Varunidae. The transcript is spliced from 2 exons. The record is from RefSeq and is a predicted model, not a curated record.